RNAcentral lists this ribosomal RNA (433 nucleotides) under uncultured bacterium. RNAcentral's name for it is "bacterial SSU rRNA". It matches the Rfam family "Bacterial small subunit ribosomal RNA", at positions 957 to 1391 of the family's 1533-position model. The record is from RNAcentral.
GAACGCGAAGAACCUUACCAAGUCUUGACAUCCUUUGACCACUCUAGAGAUAGAGCUUUCCCUUCGGGGACAAAGUGACAGGUGGUGCAUGGUUGUCGUCAGCUCGUGUCGUGAGAUGUUGGGUUAAGUCCCGCAACGAGCGCAACCCUUGUCAUUAGUUGCCAUCAUUUAGUUGGGCACUCUAAUGAGACUGCCGGUGACAAGCCGGAGGAAGGUGGGGAUGACGUCAAGUCCUCAUGGCCCUUAUGACCAGGGCUUCACACGUCAUACAAUGGUCGGUACAGAGGGUAGCCAAGCCGCGAGGUGGAGCCAAUCUCACAAAACCGAUCGUAGUCCGGAUUGCACUCUGCAACUCGAGUGCAUGAAGUCGGAAUCGCUAGUAAUCGCAGGUCAGCAUACUGCGGUGAAUACGUUCCCGGGUCUUGUACACACC